GCGGACUGAUGGGAGCUUGCUCCACUGAUGUCAGCGGCGGACGGGUGAGUAACACGUGGGCAACCUGCCUGUAAGACUGGGAUAACUUCGGGAAACCGGAGCUAAUACCGGAUAACUUCAAGCACCUCCUGGUGCUUGGAUAAAAGAUGGUUUCGGCUAUCACUUACAGAUGGGCCCGCGGCGCAUUAGCUAGUUGGUGAGGUAACGGCUCACCAAGGCGACGAUGCGUAGCCGACCUGAGAGGGUGAUCGGCCACACUGGGACUGAGACACGGCCCAGACUCCUACGGGAGGCAGCAGUAGGGAAUCUUCCGCAAUGGACGAAAGUCUGACGGAGCAACGCCGCGUGAGCGAUGAAGGCCUUCGGGUCGUAAAGCUCUGUUGUUAGGGAAGAACAAGUACCGGAGUAACUGCCGGUACCUUGACGGUACCUAACCAGAAAGCCACGGCUAACUACGUGCCAGCAGCCGCGGUAAUACGUAGGUGGCAAGCGUUGUCCGGAAUUAUUGGGCGUAAAGCGCGCGCAGGCGGUCCUUUAAGUCUGAUGUGAAAGCCCACGGCUCAACCGUGGAGGGUCAUUGGAAACUGGGGGACUUGAGUACAGAAG
Molecule: ribosomal RNA, 606 nt
Filed under: Mesobacillus sp.
Lineage: Bacteria; Bacillati; Bacillota; Bacilli; Caryophanales; Bacillaceae
Description: bacterial SSU rRNA
Rfam family: Bacterial small subunit ribosomal RNA
Source: RNAcentral